UCCUGGUUAACCCAGGCAGUCUCCUUAGAGUGCCCAACUUAAUGCUGGCAACUAAGAAUAGGGGUUGCGCUCGUUGCGAGACUUAACCCAACAUUUCACAACACGAGCUGACGACAGCCAUGCAGCACCUCUCAUCUCAUUCUCCGAAGAGCACUCCCGCAUCUCUGCAGGAUUCGAGAGAGUUCAAGCCUAGGUAAGGUUCUGCGCGUUGCUUCGAAUUAAACCACAUAAUCCACCGCUUGUGCGGGCCCCCGUCAAUUCCUUUGAGUUUUAAUCUUGCGACCGUACUCCCCAGGCGGUGCACUUAACGCGUUAGCUACGCCACUGAGGGAGUCAAUACCCCCAAUAGCUAGUGCACAUUGUUUACAGCGUGGACUAC
RNAcentral lists this unclassified non-coding RNA (379 nucleotides) under uncultured Bacteriovoracaceae bacterium. RNAcentral's name for it is "contains 16S-23S intergenic spacer region". The record is from RNAcentral. Lineage: Bacteria; Pseudomonadati; Bdellovibrionota; Bacteriovoracia; Bacteriovoracales; Bacteriovoracaceae.